RNAcentral lists this ribosomal RNA (468 nucleotides) under uncultured bacterium. RNAcentral describes it as "partial 16S ribosomal RNA". It matches the Rfam family "Bacterial small subunit ribosomal RNA", at positions 28 to 507 of the family's 1533-position model. The record is from RNAcentral.
GACGAACGCUGGCGGCGUGCUUAACACAUGCAAGUCGAACGGAAAGGCCCUGCUUUUGUGGGGUGCUCGAGUGGCGAACGGGUGAGUAACACGCGAGUAACCUGCCCUUGACUUUGGGAUAACUUCAGGAAACUGGGGCUAAUACCGGAUAGGAGCUCCUGCUGCAUGGUGGGGGUUGGAAAGUUUCGGCGGUUGGGGAUGGACUCGCGGCUUAUCAGCUUGUUGGUGGGGUAGUGGCUUACCAAGGCUUUGACGGGUAGCCGGCCUGAGAGGGUGACCGGCCACAUUGGGACUGAGAUACGGCCCAGACUCCUACGGGAGGCAGCAGUGGGGAAUAUUGCACAGUGGGCGGAAGCCUGAUGCAGCAACGCCGCGUGCGGGAUGACGGCCUUCGGGUUGUAAACCGCUUUCGCCUGUGACGAAGCGUGAGUGACGGUAAUGGGUAAAGAAGCACCGGCUAACUACGUG